Molecule: ribosomal RNA, 518 nt
Filed under: uncultured bacterium
Lineage: Bacteria
Description: bacterial SSU rRNA
Rfam family: Bacterial small subunit ribosomal RNA
Source: RNAcentral
AGAGUUUGAUUCUGGCUCAGGAUGAACGCUAGCUACAGGCUUAACACAUGCAAGUCGAGGGGCAGCAUUGGGGUAGCAAUACUCAGAUGGCGACCGGCGCACGGGUGAGUAACACGUAUCCAACCUGCCGCUUACUCGGGGAUAGCCUUUCGAAAGAAAGAUUAAUACCCGAUGGUAUAAAGAGUUCGCAUGUUCUCUUUAUUAAAGAAUUUCGGUAAGCGAUGGGGAUGCGUUCCAUUAGAUAGUUGGCGGGGUAACGGCCCACCAAGUCUACGAUGGAUAGGGGUUCUGAGAGGAAGGUCCCCCACAUUGGAACUGAGACACGGUCCAAACUCCUACGGGAGGCAGCAGUGAGGAAUAUUGGUCAAUGGACGAGAGUCUGAACCAGCCAAAGUAGCGUGAAGGAUGACUGCCCUAUGGGUUGUAAACUUCUUUUAUAAGGGAAUAAAGUGAGGGACGUGUCCCUUUUUGUAUGUACCUUAUGAAUAAGGAUCGGCUAACUCCGUGCCAGCCGCCGC